ACAGUCACACAUUAGAUACCCGCGUAGUCCUAGCCGUAAACGAUACUCGCUAGGUGUCGGCCACGGUGCGACCGUUGUCGGUGCCGUAGGGAAGCCGUGAAGCGAGCCACCUGGGAAGUACGGCCGCAAGGCUGAAACUUAAAGGAAUUGGCGGGGGAGCACCACAACGGGUGGAGCUUGCGGUUUAAUUGGAUUCAACGCCGGAAAUCUUACCGGGACCGACAGCAACAUGAAGGCCAGGCUGAAGACUUUGCCGGAUUAGCUG
RNAcentral lists this ribosomal RNA (265 nucleotides) under uncultured archaeon. RNAcentral describes it as "partial 16S ribosomal RNA". It matches the Rfam family "Archaeal small subunit ribosomal RNA", at positions 719 to 982 of the family's 1478-position model. The record is from RNAcentral.